UGGGGAAUAUUGGACAAUGGGCGAAAGCCUGAUCCAGCCAUGCCGCGUGUGUGAAGAAGGUCUUCGGAUUGUAAAGCACUUUAAGUUGGGAGGAAGGGCAGUAAGCGAAUACCUUGCUGUUUUGACGUUACCGACAGAAUAAGCACCGUCUAACUCUGUGCCAGCAGCCGCGGUAAUACAGAGGGUGCAAGCGUUAAUCGGAAUUACUGGGCGUAAAGCGCGCGUAGGUGGUUCGUUAAGUUGAAUGUGAAAGCCCCGGGCUCAACCUGGGAACUGCAUCCAAAACUGGCGAGCUAGAGUAGGGCAGAGGGUGGUGGAAUUUCCUGUGUAGCGGUGAAAUGCGUAGAUAUAGGAAGGAACACCAGUGGCGAAGGCGACCACCUGGGCUCAUACUGACACUGAGGUGCGAAAGCGUGGGGAGCAAACAGG
Molecule: ribosomal RNA, 429 nt
Filed under: Pseudomonadota bacterium
Lineage: Bacteria; Pseudomonadati; Pseudomonadota
Description: Proteobacteria bacterium partial 16S ribosomal RNA
Rfam family: Bacterial small subunit ribosomal RNA
Source: RNAcentral